Long non-coding RNA from Drosophila suzukii, 1165 nucleotides. RefSeq lists it as uncharacterized. The record is from RefSeq and is a predicted model, not a curated record. NCBI's taxonomy places the organism in Eukaryota, Metazoa, Arthropoda, Insecta, Diptera, Drosophilidae.
GUAGAAAACGGAUUACAAAAUGGAGAAGUGGAACCAAAUUAUUAUAAUACUUUUUUUAGUACCACCUGGGCAAGCUAUAGGAAAUAAAGUUUCCACUUUUUUGGCAUCGAAAGUUUUUGAAGAAAUGGACAAGGUUUUCCUGGAUCUAGAACAAAAUCAAAGAAAUAUUCCCAAUCAUGAAAAUAAUUGUAACAAAAGCUUGCUUCAAACAAAAGCCUCUGGCGAUAAUGUAAGUAAAGGCUCGAACUUGCAGGAAAAUGGAUAUACAUUACUGAAGGAAGCACAAGAAAAAAUUAAGAUAAUGAAAGAACUUUUUAGCACGAAAUGCUCCACCAAACCCAGUUCAUCAUCGCUAAAAUAAAAUACCAAGCCAAACGCUAGAAGUCACCUUUUUAAAUGAAUGACCUUAUGAUUGGCCUUUUCUUCCAGAGGAGGAUAUAAAUAUGAGUGAUUCCUUGUGAAACGUAUAGAGAUUUUCUUUAUGGUCUCAAAACGAUUUCAUAUUUCUAUCACGAAAUUGUUCCAUUUAUAUACCUAGGAUUUAAAAAAAAAAUAAGAAAAGGUUUAUGUAUAACUUUAAAUUACAUGGUGUAAAAAAAUUAGUCGUUAAUUAUUAUUUUACCAACCUUUCAGAUACAAAUUAUUCCCAUUCAACUUAUAGUCCAAACAUAAAAAAAAAUGCAAUAUCGGUUUUCUGAAAAUCGGCAUUUUUAAUUUUUAUAGAAAAUUAGUAUAGGGUUCUAUACAUUAUCCUUGUUGAAACCUAACAAUUUUGUCGUAAGACCUCCAUGAGUUUCCCCAUAAUUUAUAAAAACAGUUUAUAUUCAAUAAAAACCAAACAGUCAUUUCUUGUUAUUAUUGUUAAACUGAACUGUUUUCGACCGUUCUACGAGCUACUUAAACGACGCUACUAGCUUAGAGAUAUUUAAAGUUCGUCCCACCAAAUUUUUGUUACGCAGCAGCCCGUGACCUAAGGAAAUGCAAGAUAUCCGAUUGGGAUAAGUCGGAAAACUUUAUUGUUUGUCUUGGCUGGUAGAACUAAUUUUUUUGACAUUUGAUCAUUGACAAUAGUGUUAACGGAUUUAUGAUAAACUGAGAAAAUGGCCUACAAUUUAAAAGUGAAAUCUAUUGAAUCGCAUUUCAUUGUGCUUAAAAAUUCUUAUCA